RNAcentral lists this ribosomal RNA (750 nucleotides) under uncultured crenarchaeote. RNAcentral's name for it is "bacterial SSU rRNA". It matches the Rfam family "Archaeal small subunit ribosomal RNA", at positions 48 to 795 of the family's 1478-position model. The record is from RNAcentral. Lineage: Archaea; Thermoproteati; Thermoproteota.
GCCAUGUGGAGUCAUUGUAGCAAUACAAGGCAUACGGCUCAGUAACACGCUAGNNNAAUCUAACCUAUGGACGUGGAUAACCUCGGGAAACUGACCAAUAAUCCGCGAUAGAUCAUAAUUCCUGGAACGGUUUAUGGUCCAAAUGAUUCGUCGCCAUAGGAUGGGACUGCGGCCUAUCAGCUUGUUGGUGAGGUAAUGGCUCACCAAGGNUAUUACAGGUACGGGCUCUGAGAGGAGAAGCCCGGAGAUGGGUACUGAGACACGGACCCAGGCCCUAUGGGGCGCAGCAGGCGAGAAACCUUUGCAAUGUGCGCAAGCACGACAAGGUUAAUCCGAGUGUUUCCUGCUAAAGGAAUCUUUUGUUAGUUCUAAAACCACUGAUGAAUAAGAGGUGGGCAAGUUCUGGUGUCAGCCGCCGCGGUAAAACCAGCACCUCAAGUGGUCAGGAGGAUUAUUGGGCCUAAAGCAUCCGUAGCCGGUUCUGUAAGUUUUCGGUUAAAUCCACUAGCUUAACUAAUGGGCUGCCGAAAAUACUGCAGAACUAGGGAGUGGGAGAGGUAGACGGUACUCGGUAGGAAGGGGUAAAAUCCUUUGAUCUAUUGAUGACCACCUGUGGCGAAGGCNGUCUACCAGGACACGUUCGACGGUGAGGGGAUGAAAGCUGGGGGAGCAAACCNGGAUUAGAUACCCGGGUAGUUCCCAGCUGNUAAACGAUGCAANACUCGGUGAUGCANUGGCUUGUGGCCAGUG